This 222-nucleotide ribosomal RNA is filed under the name uncultured bacterium. RNAcentral describes it as "partial 16S ribosomal RNA". It matches the Rfam family "Bacterial small subunit ribosomal RNA", at positions 28 to 250 of the family's 1533-position model. The record is from RNAcentral.
GACGAACGCUGGCGGCGUGCUUAACACAUGCAAGUCGAGCGGUAAGGCCCUCGGGUACGACGAGCGGCGAACGGGUGAGUAACACGUGGGUGACCUGCCUCUAGCUCUGGGAGUAAGCCUGGGAAACGUAGGGCCGUAAUACCGGAUAUGACUCCACGGCGCAUGUUGUGGGGUGGAAAGCCUUGUGUGGCUAGAGAUGGGCCCGCGGCCUAUCAGCUUGUU